UUGACGGGACCCGCACAAGCGGUGGAUGAUGUGGAUUAAUUCGAUGCAACGCGAGGAACCUUACCUGGGCUUAAAUGGGAGUGACAGCUGUCGAAAGAUGGUUUUCUUCGGACACUCUUCAAGGUGCUGCAUGGUUGUCGUCAGCUCGUGCCGUGAGGUGUCGGGUUAAGUCCCAUAACGAGCGCAACCCUUACCGUUAGUUACCAUCAGGUUAAGCUGGGGACUCUAGCGGGACUGCCACCGUAAGGUGAGAGGAAGGUGGGGAUGACGUCAAAUCAGCACGGCCCUUAUGUCCAGGGCUACACACGUGUUACAAUGGCCAGUACAAAGGGCAGCUACCGGGUGACCGGAUGCUAAUCUCUAAAGCUGGUCUCAGUUCGGAUCGAAGUCUGCAACCCGACUUCGUGAAGCUGGAUUCGCUAGUAAUCGCGCAUCCAGCCAUGGCGGCGGUGAAUACGUCCGGGCCUU
Molecule: ribosomal RNA, 468 nt
Filed under: uncultured Sphingobacteriales bacterium
Lineage: Bacteria; Pseudomonadati; Bacteroidota; Sphingobacteriia; Sphingobacteriales
Description: bacterial SSU rRNA
Rfam family: Bacterial small subunit ribosomal RNA
Source: RNAcentral